Homo sapiens (human) is the source of this 876-nucleotide RNA transcript. It is a transcript of the gene named interferon alpha 22, pseudogene, with no coding region annotated. The record is from RefSeq and is marked validated. NCBI's taxonomy places the organism in Eukaryota, Metazoa, Chordata, Mammalia, Primates, Hominidae. The transcript has a single exon.
CUGCCUCUGGGCUGUGAUCUGCCUCAGGCCCACAGCGUGGGUAACAGGAGGGCCUUCAUACUCCUGACACAAAUGAGGAGAAUCUCUCCUUUUUCUUACUUGAAGGACAGACAUGACUUUGAUUUUCCAUCAUCAGGUGUUUCAUGGCAACCACUUCCAGAAGGUUCAAGCUAUCUUCCUUUUCCAUGAGAUGAUGCAGCAGACCUUCAACCUCUUCAGCACAAAGGACUCAUCUGAUACUUGGGAUGCGACCCUUUUAGACAAAUUCUACACUGAACUUUACCAGCAGCUGAAUGACCUGGAAGCCUGUGUGAUGUAGAAGGUUGGAGUGGAAGAGACUCCCCUGAGGAAUGUGGACUCCAUCCUGGCUGUGAGAAAAUACUUUCAAAGAAUCACUCUUUAUCUGACAAAGAAGAAGUAUAGCCCUUGUUCCUGGGAGGCUGUCAGAGCAGAAAUCAUGAGAUCCUUCUCUUUAUGAACGAACUUGCAGGAAAGAUUAAGGAGGAAGGAAUGAAAACUGGUUCAACAUGGAAAUGAGAAACAUUUCCAUGAUUAAUACAUCAUCUCACACGUUCAUGAAUUCUGCCAUUUCUCAUUUUUGCUAUAUCCAUGACAUGAGUUGAAUCAAAAUUUUAAAAUGUUUUCAGGAAUGUUAAGCAGCAUCAUGUUCAGCUGUACAGGCACUAGUUCCUUACGGAUGAUCAUGCUGAUGGAUCUGUUUAUCUAUUUGUCUAAAUAAUUAUUUAACUAUUUAUACUAUUUAAAAUCUUCUUUUCAUGUAUCAUGUAUUUUUACUUUGUGGUUAAUAUAACAAUACAUGUUCUUUAUAUUUAGUCAAUAUAUUACUUUGCUUUUUUCAUUAAAUUUUUACUAUGG